AUACGGAGGGUGCAAGCGUUACUCGGAAUCACUGGGCGUAAAGCGCGCGCAGGCGGUCUUUUAAGUUGGAUGUGAAAGCCUACGGCUCAACCGUAGAACUGCAUCCAAAACUAUUAGACUAGAGUGUGGGAGAGGAAGAUGGAAUUAGUUGUGUAGGGGUAAAAUCCGUAGAGAUACCUAUGAAUACCAAAAGCGAAGGCAAUCUUCUGGAACACUACUGACGCUGAGGCGCGAAAGCGUGGGGAGCAAACAGGAUUAGAUACCCUAGUAGUCC
Molecule: ribosomal RNA, 274 nt
Filed under: uncultured bacterium
Lineage: Bacteria
Description: partial 16S ribosomal RNA
Rfam family: Bacterial small subunit ribosomal RNA
Source: RNAcentral